RNAcentral lists this ribosomal RNA (901 nucleotides) under Hypoxylon griseobrunneum. RNAcentral describes it as "LSU rRNA". It matches the Rfam family "Eukaryotic large subunit ribosomal RNA", at positions 38 to 965 of the family's 3401-position model. The record is from RNAcentral. Lineage: Eukaryota; Fungi; Ascomycota; Sordariomycetes; Xylariales; Hypoxylaceae.
GCAUAUCAAUAAGCGGAGGAAAAGAAACCAACAGGGAUUGCCCUAGUAACGGCGAGUGAAGCGGCAACAGCUCAAAUUUGAAAUCUGGCCCUAGUGGUCCGAGUUGUAAUUUGUAGAGGAUGCUUUGGGUGCGGUGCCUUCUGAGUUCCCUGGAACGGGACGCCAGAGAGGGUGAGAGCCCCGUACGGUCGGACACCUAGCCUAUAUAUAGCUCCUUCGACGAGUCGAGUAGUUUGGGAAUGCUGCUCUAAAUGGGAGGUAUAUUUCUUCUAAAGCUAAAUACCGGCCAGAGACCGAUAGCGCACAAGUAGAGUGAUCGAAAGAUGAAAAGCACUUUGAAAAGAGGGUUAAAUAGCACGUGAAAUUGUUGAAAGGGAAGCGUUUGCGACCAGACCUUUUCCGGGCGGAUCAUCCGGCGUUCUCGCCGGUGCACUUCGCCCGGUUUAGGCCAGCAUCGGUUUUCUUAGGGGGAUAAAGACCAGGGGAACGUAGCUCUCUAGGGAGUGUUAUAGCCCCUGGUGUAAUACCCUUCGGGGGACCGAGGACCGCGCUUUUGCAAGGAUGCUGGCGUAAUGGUCGUCAACGACCCGUCUUGAAACACGGACCAAGGAGUCGAACAUUGGUGCGAGUGUUUGGGUGUUAAACCCUCACGCGUAAUGAAAGUGAACGGAGGUGAGAGCCCUUACGGGUGCAUCAUCGACCGAUCCUGAUGUCUUCGGAUGGAUUUGAGUAAGAGCAUCACUGUUCGGACCCGAAAGAUGGUGAACUAUGCGUGGAUAGGGUGAAGCCAGAGGAAACUCUGGUGGAGGCUCGCAGCGGUUCUGACGUGCAAAUCGAUCGUCAAAUCUGCGCAUGGGGGCGAAAGACUUAUCGAACCAUCUAGUAGCUGGUUACCGCCGAA